AUCCAGCUGACUCGUCCCAAAUAGAACGAGGCGCGCGUCCUGGAU
Molecule: non-coding RNA, 45 nt
Organism: Schistosoma rodhaini
Lineage: Eukaryota; Metazoa; Platyhelminthes; Trematoda; Strigeidida; Schistosomatidae
Source: Rfam